This 2908-nucleotide ribosomal RNA is filed under the name Salmonella enterica subsp. enterica. Its description in RNAcentral is "23S ribosomal RNA". It matches the Rfam family "Bacterial large subunit ribosomal RNA". Lineage: Bacteria; Pseudomonadati; Pseudomonadota; Gammaproteobacteria; Enterobacterales; Enterobacteriaceae. The record is from RNAcentral.
GGUUAAGCGACCAAGCGUACACGGUGGAUGCCCUGGCAGUCAGAGGCGAUGAAGGACGUGCUAAUCUGCGAUAAGCGCCGGUAAGGUGAUAUGAACCGUUAUAACCGGCGAUUUCCGAAUGGGGAAACCCAGUGUGAUUCGUCACACUAUCAUUAACUGAAUCCAUAGGUUAAUGAAGCGAACCGGGGGAACUGAAACAUCUAAGUACCCCGAGGAAAAGAAAUCAACCGAGAUUCCCCCAGUAGCGGCGAGCGAACGGGGAGGAGCCCAGAGCCUGAAUCAGCAUGUGUGUUAGUGGAAGCGUCUGGAAAGGCGCGCGAUACAGGGUGACAGCCCCGUACACAAAAGCGCAUGUGCUGUGAGCUCGAUGAGUAGGGCGGGACACGUGGUAUCCUGUCUGAAUAUGGGGGGACCAUCCUCCAAGGCUAAAUACUCCUGACUGACCGAUAGUGAACCAGUACCGUGAGGGAAAGGCGAAAAGAACCCCGGCGAGGGGAGUGAAACAGAACCUGAAACCGUGUACGUACAAGCAGUGGGAGCACAGGUUUACCUGUGUGACUGCGUACCUUUUGUAUAAUGGGUCAGCGACUUAUAUUCUGUAGCAAGGUUAACCGCAUAGGGGAGCCGAAGGGAAACCGAGUCUUAACCGGGCGUUAAGUUGCAGGGUAUAGACCCGAAACCCGGUGAUCUAGCCAUGGGCAGGUUGAAGGUUGGGUAACACUAACUGGAGGACCGAACCGACUAAUGUUGAAAAAUUAGCGGAUGACCUGUGGCUGGGGGUGAAAGGCCAAUCAAACCGGGAGAUAGCUGGUUCUCCCCGAAAGCUAUUUAGGUAGCGCCUCGUGAAUUCAUCUCCGGGGGUAGAGCACUGUUUCGGCUAGGGGGUCAUCCCGACUUACCAACCCGAUGCAAACUGCGAAUACCGGAGAAUGUUAUCACGGGAGACACACGGCGGGUGCUAACGUCCGUCGUGAAGAGGGAAACAACCCAGACCGCCAGCUAAGGUCCCAAAGUCAUGGUUAAGUGGGAAACGAUGUGGGAAGGCCCAGACAGCCAGGAUGUUGGCUUAGAAGCAGCCAUCAUUUAAAGAAAGCGUAAUAGCUCACUGGUCGAGUCGGCCUGCGCGGAAGAUGUAACGGGGCUAAACCAUGCACCGAAGCUGCGGCAGCGACGCUUAUGCGUUGUUGGGUAGGGGAGCGUUCUGUAAGCCGUUGAAGGUGGCCUGUGAGGGUUGCUGGAGGUAUCAGAAGUGCGAAUGCUGACAUAAGUAACGAUAAAGCGGGUGAAAAGCCCGCUCGCCGGAAGACCAAGGGUUCCUGUCCAACGUUAAUCGGGGCAGGGUGAGUCGACCCCUAAGGCGAGGCCGAAAGGCGUAGUCGAUGGGAAACGGGUUAAUAUUCCCGUACUUGGUGUUACUGCGAAGGGGGGACGGAGAAGGCUAUGUUGGCCGGGCGACGGUUGUCCCGGUUUAAGCGUGUAGGUGUGUGUUCCAGGUAAAUCCGGUUCACUUUAACACUGAGGCGUGAUGACGAGGCACCACGGUGCUGAAGCAACAAAUGCCCUGCUUCCAGGAAAAGCCUCUAAGCAUCAGGUAACAUCAAAUCGUACCCCAAACCGACACAGGUGGUCAGGUAGAGAAUACCAAGGCGCUUGAGAGAACUCGGGUGAAGGAACUAGGCAAAAUGGUGCCGUAACUUCGGGAGAAGGCACGCUGACACGUAGGUGAAGUGGUUUACCCAUGGAGCUGAAGUCAGUCGAAGAUACCAGCUGGCUGCAACUGUUUAUUAAAAACACAGCACUGUGCAAACACGAAAGUGGACGUAUACGGUGUGACGCCUGCCCGGUGCCGGAAGGUUAAUUGAUGGGGUCAGCGCAAGCGAAGCUCCUGAUCGAAGCCCCGGUAAACGGCGGCCGUAACUAUAACGGUCCUAAGGUAGCGAAAUUCCUUGUCGGGUAAGUUCCGACCUGCACGAAUGGCGUAAUGAUGGCCAGGCUGUCUCCACCCGAGACUCAGUGAAAUUGAACUCGCUGUGAAGAUGCAGUGUACCCGCGGCAAGACGGAAAGACCCCGUGAACCUUUACUAUAGCUUGACACUGAACAUUGAGCCUUGAUGUGUAGGAUAGGUGGGAGGCUUUGAAGCGUGGACGCCAGUCUGCGUGGAGCCGACCUUGAAAUACCACCCUUUAAUGUUUGAUGUUCUAACGUGGACCCGUGAUCCGGGUUGCGGACAGUGUCUGGUGGGUAGUUUGACUGGGGCGGUCUCCUCCUAAAGAGUAACGGAGGAGCACGAAGGUUGGCUAAUCCUGGUCGGACAUCAGGAGGUUAGUGCAAUGGCAUAAGCCAGCUUGACUGCGAGCGUGACGGCGCGAGCAGGUGCGAAAGCAGGUCAUAGUGAUCCGGUGGUUCUGAAUGGAAGGGCCAUCGCUCAACGGAUAAAAGGUACUCCGGGGAUAACAGGCUGAUACCGCCCAAGAGUUCAUAUCGACGGCGGUGUUUGGCACCUCGAUGUCGGCUCAUCACAUCCUGGGGCUGAAGUAGGUCCCAAGGGUAUGGCUGUUCGCCAUUUAAAGUGGUACGCGAGCUGGGUUUAGAACGUCGUGAGACAGUUCGGUCCCUAUCUGCCGUGGGCGCUGGAGAACUGAGGGGGGCUGCUCCUAGUACGAGAGGACCGGAGUGGACGCAUCACUGGUGUUCGGGUUGUCAUGCCAAUGGCACUGCCCGGUAGCUAAAUGCGGAAGAGAUAAGUGCUGAAAGCAUCUAAGCACGAAACUUGCCCCGAGAUGAGUUCUCCCUGAGACUUUGAGUCUCCUGAAGGAACGUUGAAGACGACGACGUUGAUAGGCCGGGUGUGUAAGCGCAGCGAUGCGUUGAGCUAACCGGUACUAAUGAACCGUGAGGCUUAACCUU